Molecule: ribosomal RNA, 434 nt
Filed under: uncultured bacterium
Lineage: Bacteria
Description: partial 16S ribosomal RNA
Rfam family: Bacterial small subunit ribosomal RNA
Source: RNAcentral
AGCGAACGCUGGCGGCAGGCCUAACACAUGCAAGUCGAACGAACCUUUCGGGGUUAGUGGCGGACGGGUGAGUAACACGUGGGAACGUGCCUUUAGGUUCGGAAUAACUCAGGGAAACUUGUGCUAAUACCGAACGUGCCCUUCGGGGGAAAGAUUUAUCGCCUUUAGAGCGGCCCGCGUCUGAUUAGCUAGUUGGUUGAGGUAAUGGCUCACCAAGGCGACGAUCAGUAGCUGGUCUGAGAGGAUGGUCCGCCACAUUGGGACUGAGACACGGCCCAAACUCCUACGGGAGGCAGCAGUGGGGAAUCUUGCGCAAUGGGCGAAAGCCUGACGCAGCCAUGCCGCGUGAAUGAUGAAGGUCUUAGGAUUGUAAAAUUCUUUCACCGGGGACGAUAAUGACGGUACCCGGAGAAGAAGCCCCGGCUAACUACGUG